Long non-coding RNA from Microtus oregoni (creeping vole), 149 nucleotides. RefSeq lists it as uncharacterized. The record is from RefSeq and is a predicted model, not a curated record. NCBI's taxonomy places the organism in Eukaryota, Metazoa, Chordata, Mammalia, Rodentia, Cricetidae. The transcript has 3 exons.
GGCAGAUGCACAGACAUGAUGAAGCUCCGACCCAAGAAGGACGUAGGCUAGAAUCUCCCUGGUGCGGUUUCAUUGCUUGAGAAAAUUAACACAUCUCCUGACACGAGCUCACAGUGCCGGAUGAAUAUUAACACGAGAAUCCUCACUAC